UUUGAUCCUGGCUCAGAUUGAACGCUGGCGGCAUGCCUGACACAUGCAAGUCGAACGGCAGCGCGGGAGCAAUCCUGGCGGCGAGUGGCGAACGGGUGAGUAAUACAUCGGAACGUGCCCAAUCGUGGGGGAUAACGCAGCGAAAGCUGUGCUAAUACCGCAUAAGAUCUACGGAUGAAAGCAGGGGAUCGCAAGACCUUGCGCGAAUGGAGCGGCCGAUGGCAGAUUAGGUAGUUGGUGGGGUAAAGGCUCACCAAGCCUUCGAUCUGUAGCUGGUCUGAGAGGACGACCAGCCACACUGGGACUGAGACACGGCCCAGACUCCUACGGGAGGCAGCAGUGGGGAAUUUUGGACAAUGGGCGCAAGCCUGAUCCAGCCAUGCCGCGUGCAGGAUGAAGGCCUUCGGGUUGUAAACUGCUUUUGUACGGAACGAAAAGUCUCUUUCUAAUAAAGAGGGAUCAUGACGGUACCGUAAGAAUAAGCACCGGCUAACUACGUGCCAGCAGCCGCGGUAAUACGUAGGGUGCAAGCGUUAAUCGGAAUUACUGGGCGUAAAGCGUGCGCAGGCGGUUAUGUAAGACAGUUGUGAAAUCCCCGGGCUCAACCUGGGAACUGCAUCUGUGACUGCAUAGCUAGAGUACGGUAGAGGGGGAUGGAAUUCCGCGUGUAGCAGUGAAAUGCGUAGAUAUGCGGAGGAACACCGAUGGCGAAGGCAAUCCCCUGGACCUGUACUGACGCUCAUGCACGAAAGCGUGGGGAGCAAACAGGAUUAGAUACCCUGGUAGUCCACGCCCUAAACGAUGUCAACUGGUUGUUGGGUCUUCACUGACUCAGUAACGAAGCUAACGCGUGAAGUUGACCGCCUGGGGAGUACGGUCAAGGUUGAAACUCAAAGGAAUUGACGGGGACCCGCACAAGCGGUGGAUGAUGUGGUUUAAUUCGAUGCAACGCGAAAAACCUUACCCACCUUUGACAUGUACGGAAUUUGCCAGAGAUGGCUCAGUGCUCGAAAGAGAACCGUAACACAGGUGCUGCAUGGCUGUCGUCAGCUCGUGUCGUGAGAUGUUGGGUUAAGUCCCGCAACGAGCGCAACCCUUGUCAUUAGUUGCUACAUUCAGUUGGGCACUCUAGUGAGACUGCCGGUGACAAACCGGAGGAAGGUGGGGAUGACGUCAAGUCCUCAUGGCCCUUAUAGGUGGGGCUACACACGUCAUACAAUGGCUGGUACAAAGGGUUGCCAACCCGCGAGGGGGAGCUAAUCCCAUAAAACCAGCCGUAGUCCGGAUCGCAGUCUGCGACUCGACUGCGUGAAGUCGGAAUCGCUAGUAAUCGUGGAUCAGAAUGUCACGGUGAAUACGUUCCCGGGUCUUGUACACACCGCCCGUCACACCAUGGGAGCGGGUUCUGCCAGAAGUAGUUAGCCUAACCGCAAGGAGGGCGAUUACCACGGCAGGGUUCGUGACUGGGGUGAAGUCGUAACAAGGUA
Molecule: ribosomal RNA, 1487 nt
Filed under: metagenome
Description: bacterial SSU rRNA
Rfam family: Bacterial small subunit ribosomal RNA
Source: RNAcentral